This 24-nucleotide non-coding RNA is filed under the name Arabidopsis thaliana (thale cress). The record is from RNAcentral. Lineage: Eukaryota; Viridiplantae; Streptophyta; Magnoliopsida; Brassicales; Brassicaceae.
AUGCAAAACUAUCCUAAACAUGCA